Molecule: long non-coding RNA, 1213 nt
Organism: Salvelinus namaycush (lake trout)
Lineage: Eukaryota; Metazoa; Chordata; Actinopteri; Salmoniformes; Salmonidae
Exons: 3
Source: RefSeq, a predicted model, not a curated record
CUGUCAGGCUGAGUUCAGGGAAAACACAGAGCUGCCGAUCUGUCAAUCAUAAUUAGCAAACACAGGGAGUGAAACUGGGAGGAAGGUCGGUGAAACGCUACGUUUUUGGGUGAAAAGGCAUUGUACUUUCUGUGAAACAAUUAUGCGUCGGAAAGGAGGGGAAAAUAAGUAUCCUAGUGUGCUUAAAAAUAUUUGUUCUACUUUGGAAGGAAUUGCAUAAAAGCGCGUUCACUGAAAGCCAAACUCGGCGAGUUUCACUUGCAAGCAACUAUUCUGCUUGGAGUACGAAACAUAUCCAGAAGAAGGUAACCACGGACGCACGACACUUUGGGAUUUAAUUUGGCUAUUUAACACACUUCUUGACAAAAGUGGUUGAUACAUUUCAGAGGACUGUCUUAAAGUCGCUGUUGGUGACUCGCAGCGCAGACUAGGAGGUGUGACGGUUCACUCAAAACAAUCUCGGCCCAAACAUCCAGACGGCGAGGAAGAAAGGAGGAAAGAUGAGCGGGGGAGAUGUGGUGUGCUCGGGCUGGUUAAGAAAAUCUCCUCCAGAAAAAAAGUUGAGACGUUACGGCCUCAGUGUUUGAACAACAACACUCCGGAGACAGGCUGACACAACGAGCUGAGAGGGAAAAUGUUGAACCCCGAAGGUCCCUGUUUUGAGUGUCUCUCUCUCUCUGUCCCAAAUGGGCACUGAUCUAAAGUAGUGCACUAUAUAGGGAAUAUGGUGCUUUUGGGACAAAUCCAUAGGAUGAUGGCAGUAGACUCACUGAGGACAUCCUCUAGCCGGCUCAGAAAAUAUCCUUCCACUCCUGUAAAUGUCUCUCCACCAGCUUGAGGGAGUCUGUCUCCUGACCUGAACCACUUACUAUAUGUAGCUCGCUGCAGCGCCCUGUAAGCCAUUACUCGUGCUCAAGCCUAAUUUAACACUUUUGAUUUGCGACCAACCAAGGGGGAAAUUCUGCAACUUCUGAACAAACGACAGAGCGGACGGAUAGACGGAACUCAGUGGAGUGGUCAAACGAAACAAAGGAAUCGCUUUUUUGUUGAGUACAGGAUUCAUUAAAUCUGCUUAGCAAGUGGAACAGAGAAGCGCUUGUGUGGCGUUAGCGUAAGAGGCUAUUCCUAGCCAGCAGUCAGCAUACAUUAUUGUUGAAGACCAGGGCUCUCCAACCCUGUUCCUGGAGAGCUACCCUCCUGUAGGUUUUCACUG